This 497-nucleotide ribosomal RNA is filed under the name uncultured bacterium. RNAcentral's name for it is "partial 16S ribosomal RNA". It matches the Rfam family "Bacterial small subunit ribosomal RNA", at positions 28 to 507 of the family's 1533-position model. The record is from RNAcentral.
GAUGAACGCUGGCGGCGUGCCUAAUACAUGCAAGUCGAGCGAACGGACGAGAAGCUUGCUUCUCUGAUGUUAGCGGCGGACGGGUGAGUAACACGUGGAUAACCUACCUAUAAGACUGGGAUAACUUCGGGAAACCGGAGCUAAUACCGGAUAAUAUUUUGAACCGCAUGGUUCAAAAGUGAAAGACGGUCUUGCUGUCACUUAUAGAUGGAUCCGCGCUGCAUUAGCUAGUUGGUAAGGUAACGGCUUACCAAGGCAACGAUGCAUAGCCAACCUGAGAGGGUGAACAGACACACUAGAGCUGAGACAAGGUCCAGAAUACAACGGGAGACAGAAGUAGGGAAUAUUCCGCAUUGGGCUAAAGCCAGAAGGAGCAACGCCAAGUGAGUCAUGAGGGUCUUCAGAUCGUAGAACACUGUUAUUAGGGAAGAACAUAUGUGUAAGAAACGGCUGUUAUCUAGAAGGUACCUAAUCAGAAAGCCACGGCUAACUACGUG